Molecule: ribosomal RNA, 246 nt
Filed under: uncultured Arcobacter sp.
Lineage: Bacteria; Pseudomonadati; Campylobacterota; Epsilonproteobacteria; Campylobacterales; Arcobacteraceae
Description: partial 16S ribosomal RNA
Rfam family: Bacterial large subunit ribosomal RNA
Source: RNAcentral
GCAACGUUUGCUGGAGCGGAUAGAAGUAAGCAUGCAGGCAUGAGUAGCGAUAAUUAAGGUGAGAAUCCUUAACGCCGAAAACCCAAGGUUUCCUACGCGAUGCUCGUCAUCGUAGGGUUAGUCGGGUCCUAAGUCGAGACUGAAAAGUGUAAAACUAGUAACCAUGGCAAAUUGGUUAAUAUUCCAAUACCAACAUAUAAGCGCGAUGUGGGACGCAUAGUUCUAGUCGAGCUCCCUUUUGUGGGG